Molecule: long non-coding RNA, 475 nt
Filed under: Musa acuminata (dwarf banana)
Lineage: Eukaryota; Viridiplantae; Streptophyta; Magnoliopsida; Zingiberales; Musaceae
Description: long non-coding RNA (MACU_LNC008449)
Source: RNAcentral
UAAAUUGUUCUAGCCUUGCAUUAUAUAUAUCUCCUAUUUAGAUGUAACGAUUCGAAUCUGUGCAACUUCUGAUAUUCUGACCUUUUGAUACCGAGCUGCCUAUAAGUCUUUGUUGGAAACUCUAAUUUGUUCAAAACUGAUUUUAUUGGAAACUAGACUCGUAGAUCUUUCUUUUGAUAUAUGGAUUGAAAGAUUUGGAAUUCAAACACCUGCCCAGUUAUCUGUUAAAUCUGACAUUAUGAAUUCUACCAAAUAGAGAUUUUGUUCUGCGACCCUUGUUUACCAAAUUAUUUGUAACUCUCUCUGUUGGACAGUUCAAUUCAUAUGAAGCUUGUUUUAUCUUGAAGUAGAUUGAAAUAUCUUUCCAAUGAUAUAUUUCUGAGUAAAUUGGAGCACGAUUGAUAGUUUGAAUCAUUUGUUCAAUGUGCCUCUUGAAUUCUGCCAGAAAUCGAGCUUUGGUCGAUUUCAUAUAUUC